Fukomys damarensis (Damara mole-rat) is the source of this 297-nucleotide long non-coding RNA. RefSeq lists it as uncharacterized. Lineage: Eukaryota; Metazoa; Chordata; Mammalia; Rodentia; Bathyergidae. The record is from RefSeq and is a predicted model, not a curated record. The transcript is spliced from 3 exons.
CGGCAUUUCAAAGCCCAACCAGCUAGGAUAAAGCCUUCAGUGAGCAAGUUCCCUAACAGCUCAACUGCUUGGGAGUCCCUGGGAGUCCACUCUGGAAAGAGGCAGAUCAGCUGGGCUUCUCCAACUUCCUGCCAUCCUGGAUUCAACCAAGAGGACCUGGGGCAGCGUGCUCUACAUGCAGUUCCUGACCCUCCCUGUAGUGCCUGCGACAACCUUCCGGUUCGCCCCCAGCCUGCUGCACCAGCCUGUGAGCUCUCUGGGACAAGGAAUAGACUUUUUCCAUCAUCUCUUCACUGC